GAAUCUUGGACAAUGGGCGCAAGCCUGAUCCAGCCAUGCCGCGUGUGUGAUGAAGGCCUUAGGGUCGUAAAGCACUUUCGCCAGAGAUGAUAAUGACAGUAUCUGGUAAAGAAACCCCGGCUAACUCCGUGCCAGCAGCCGCGGUAAUACGGAGGGGGUUAGCGUUGUUCGGAAUUACUGGGCGUAAAGCGCACGUAGGCGGAUUAGUCAGUCAGAGGUGAAAUCCCAGGGCUCAACCCUGGAACUGCCUUUGAUACUGCUAGUCUUGAGUUCGAGAGAGGUGAGUGGAAUUCCGAGUGUAKAGGUGAAAUUCGUAGAUAUUCGGAGGAACACCAGUGGCGAAGGCGGCUCACUGGYUCGAUACUGACGCUGAGGUGCGAAAGUGUGGGGAGCAWACWGGAUUAKAUACCCUGGUAKUCCACACCGUAAACGAUGAAUGCCAGUCGUCGGGUAGUAUACUAUUCGGUGACACACCUAACGGAUUAAGCAUC
RNAcentral lists this ribosomal RNA (491 nucleotides) under uncultured Alphaproteobacteria bacterium. RNAcentral describes it as "bacterial SSU rRNA". It matches the Rfam family "Bacterial small subunit ribosomal RNA", at positions 359 to 868 of the family's 1533-position model. The record is from RNAcentral. Lineage: Bacteria; Pseudomonadati; Pseudomonadota; Alphaproteobacteria.